Oxyura jamaicensis (ruddy duck) is the source of this 8027-nucleotide long non-coding RNA. RefSeq lists it as uncharacterized. The record is from RefSeq and is a predicted model, not a curated record. The transcript has 2 exons. NCBI's taxonomy places the organism in Eukaryota, Metazoa, Chordata, Aves, Anseriformes, Anatidae.
UCUUUGCUGGACAGGCACCUCUCUAUCCAAGUGCACUGACUAGCUAGCAGCUACAUGCUAGGUUGUUUUUGUCAGAGCUUGAACCUGCUUUGUCUCCUCUGAUGAAAAAUUAGUCAUAGCUGCUGUUUGGGAAGGUAGAGAAUUUGUACUGAAUCUUCUAUAGAAUAUACUAUAUUAAGUAUUUUAAUGGCUUCAUCUGAGUUCAAAAAAAAAAUGAAAACCAUUGUGAUACUGGAGGAAAAUAGGAUCUGUACAAUAACCUGGAACAGGAAACAGGAUGACGUGAGGCUGUCAUCAACCUUAGGUGUACCUGAGCUGGUUUAAAUCUACUUGGAAUGGGCUAUUCAUGUAACAUCAAGAGUUCAGUGCCUGCUAUUAACUAUUUGCACAUUUUCACUGGACGCAUACUACGCACAUGCCAAGCUCUAAAUUUUCUUGCCUGCAUGGUCACCUGAGCCCAAAAUAGCUAGAGGACUUGAGCUGCAGUGAUGCCUCUUAACUGAUCCUCAGGGUUACAUGUAAUACAUGUUUCUGUUCUAAUUUAGCAUUUCACUACCUUUAUUUUCAAGCUCUUCCAACUGCUGAUAUUGAGUUGAUAACAAGAGUAUAUGGUGGAAAAUAUUUCAUGCUCAGAUCUAAUUUAAACAAACAAACAAAAAACAGUCAUUUAUGAGAUUGUAGAGCAAAGUAGCUAAAAGCUUUUCUGGGGUGUUGGGUGUAGAAGCUAUUAGUAAAAGUUCCUGUAGGACAGAAGUGAAUGUGGAUUUACAAGUGUUUCCUUUAUUUGAAUGUGUUAAGUUGACUGCAGGGUAUAUUUGAGAGUUGAGGAGUGGGGAAACAGUAUUUGGGGAAAACAAAAAAAAAACAAACAAACAAAAAAACAACAAACAAACAAACAAAAAAACGUUAAGCCCUGAUUUACUUUCAAACCUGAGUGUGGGAGCCUUGAACUCCUGCAUUACAGGGGACACAGCAGCACCAAUUGCAGGAAGCCAGGAGUGAAAGACCAGGGUUUGUUUUACCAGUACUGCAGAAUUUUGCAUCCAUUAUAGACAAAUAAUAAAGUCCUAGGUGAAAAUUGCCUUUAAAAACAGACAUGACACAAAUUGCACCAGGUACUUCUAUAUAAUCUUUGUUUCUUAAGGCCAGUGAAAUGAAAGGACAUUACUUUCAUAGCCUAUUUAUUGUCCCUGUACUGAGAUCUUGGCUGUAGUAAAAAUACUUUUUAAUAUAAGUUCUAAAUUGCAGGGAGUUGGAAAAAUAACUGAUAGCAGUACCUGUUGUGUGGUGUUACGUAUUAGUGUACAUUACUGUCAAAGCACUUUUCCUGGAUUGUAUGGGUCACGUUAUAGAAGAGUGACUUAAGUUGAAAGAUGCAGAUUAGGUAGCUGGAGCAUGCUGAGAAAACUGGCAAAAGUCAUGAGCAGAUAAGCCAGUGGCAUGCUGCAGUAUGCAUCCAUAAUUUGUGGGAGCAUAAGAUUUUAAUUCAUACCAGGCUUCUCUGGAGAUGAAAGACCAUUGUGGGAUCACUGAAUGCCCAAAGUUUCUCCUUAAUGUGUAGCAGAUGAAUAACAAGGAGACAAAAGGAAUUGAUUUUCAGCAUCUGAAAGUUUCUCAGGAAGAAAGGGACCAGGAGAAGUAUAUGUACCCUUUAAGUAUUAACUGUUCCAUUGCAGAUUAAAUGAGACAUAAAUUCAAUUUAUUGGCAUUUUGUAUCUGAGAUAUUCAAGGACAUUUUUCGUACACUGUGUUCAUAGAAAGGACAUUUGUCUGACUUAGCAUCAUUAAAGAGCUAUCAUUUUAUGUGUGUAUAUAUACAAGAGAUUCCCAUUAUUAAAACCAAAAUUCCAAAGGUAAAUGCCUCAGAGGAAACUGCAAAUUAGAUCUAUUUAGUGAACUGAUGUAGUGGAGGCAGGACAGAUAAAGGCCUUAUGUGUCAGUGCAUACAGCCCAUUCUUCUACAAGUAAAUGCAUAUCCAGACUCAUUUGUGUGCUGUAAUUCACUCCUGAGCCGUCAUAGCUCUGGAAAAGGUUGUAUGACAACAGACAUCUUAACUUCAUCUUCAGAAGAAUUGCUUAUGAGGUUGUUCACUUCUUGGAACCAGAACUUUAAAAAAAGGGCAAAUAAUUCUUUUAAUUUCGUGCUAAUGAAGUAUGACUCAUAGGGUUACAGAUAUUCUUAGAGCUGUUCAUAGUUGAGAAGGAUACUAGCCUUGUGGACCUAGACAAAACUACAUACUUAGGACCUAUAUAGUGGCCUAGUCCUGCAGCUUUCACUCUGGUGGCCAUAAGUGACACAUCAGGGUGGCUGUUCUGAGAAGUAAAAUGCAGGUUUUAAUAGACCUCGGUGUUAACAGGUGCCUACUUAAUUCUGAAGGUAGAUGACAAGGAUACCUGAUAGCUAAAUGUGUCCAAUUAUGCCAAACUCCAACCAAGUAGAUCAGCUACCUGUUGACUUAAGCUGUCUUUAUUUUUUAUUUUAUUUUUAUUUUAUUUUAUUUUAUUUUUGAUAACACGUGGAAAAAUGGACCAGUCUUUCCCAUCAUCUUCGAGGACAGGAGAUCAGUUAGUUAGUGUUUGAGAAGUGUCUCUUUGGAGAUGAGACCCUGAGUUUACUGGGGCUGAGGAAUAGAACUUCACAUUUACUUUGGUGUGCAUUAUCUUUUGAUCUCUCUGUGAAUAUUCCUUUUCAUUUGUCUGUGUUGUAAGUCUCCAUAAAUCUUUCUUUUUACAAAGCUAUUUACAACUUUCAGCUGUACUCCUCUGUAAAUAUGUAUUUUCAGGACUAGAAUAGCUUCAAGAAUGAGGGCACCGUAAUAGCAGCUCCUGAAGUCUUAGAAGCAUAGAAGAAGGUAGAGCACCACUCCUUAUUUCCUAUCCUUGGUGAGAUAUUACACCAAAGCCUGCAAGAGAGCUUAGUAUAGGCUGCUAUACAACCUCUGUGCAGUUCCUGACAGCAUAUUUCUCCCACGGGUGUCAUUUGUUCUUUUGGCUGUGGAAACUAUGGAUGGAGAUGGGAAUUUGGCACCACAUUUCUAAUGUUUCUGAUAUAAAUUUCAUCUGCUACGGCCACUCCCUGUCUGUUGGCAAGUUUUCUCCCUUCCAGCUCUUCAUUUGUUAUUUAGUAAAAUGCAGCCUGGACCUAGCUGAGGCUUCUUGGAGCUGCUUUGGUCUGACUUUGGACCAUAAUUUCUAUUGCAGUCUUUUCUGGAGCCCAAAACAGUAUCUGGGCCUAAGACUCUAGAUUUUUGUAAUUAUUGUUUUUUUUAAGAUAAUGUGUAGUGUCCUCUUCCAAGACCUCUCAGAGGUUUCACAUAGAGAAGUAUGUGUGUGUGUGUGUAUUUGGAACCAGAAAAAGUGGCCUCCAUGACUGAAAAAAAAAUAAAAAUAAAAAUAAAAUAAAAUAAAAAAAAAAACAACCAAACAAAAAAAAUUGCAAAAAUUGCAGUUGACAUGUGGAGCUGACCAGAGCAAGCUCGCCAGAUUUUACUGGCCUCAGUGUCUGUACAUUUACUUUUUGAAGAUUUCCACAGCUUCUCAGCAUAAGCUCUUGCAACUGACUACAGCGUUUUCAUUAUUUUCUGUUAUCACAACAAGAGAUUGGUUGAGGACCAGUGUACAGAGCACACUGUUGUUGGAAAGCAAAAGAACAAGAGAAGGCCUACCUGUCAGCAUAACUGUUCCUGAACCACAAAUUAUUUCUUUACCAGUUUCUUACAGUUGCUUGACAAAAGAUGACCCAUUCAUCAGUAGUUGACUUGGCUAAGUACAGAAACAUGUGUGAGCAGCCUACUCUUUAAUGACUGCUGUGCUUGCUUUGGCUGCAAUGUACUGUUGUGCAAAUCAAUUUUAAUAGUAAGGGUGAACAGCUUAGCAAAGAGACUGGCUGCCCAGAUUGUAGGGGGGAGGGCAGGGGGAGAAUUAAAACAUCUGUCUUUCUGCUCUGGUGUAAAAUGCCACUGAAAAAUCUGACAGUCAGUGUUCUUCCUCACUUUUAGUAGGGUGGGGGCUGGGGACAGCAAAGGAGCACAAAUGUUUCGUUUCUCUCUACUUAAAGCAGAUGCUGACAUCUGCUCAGAUAAAACAAGUAUGUAACUGGUCCAACACUGCUUUUAAGAGAUGUGUAAUGUUAAGGCUUGUUUACAUUGCAGCAGCUUAUGUUGUAUGUGAACAUCACACUUACCUGACAUUUUGAAGACAGCUGGGCUCAAUCUCUGCUGACCAGUCCAUUGAGACCAGGACUGUGCCAGCAAACCUGACUCUGAGCAUCAGAUGCUGUGAUAUAGGCAAGCUCCAUUUUCUGGGCUGACAUUGAAUUUAUGCAUGUCAGCUAAUGUUUACUUUUUUAUUUUUUUUGGCUGGGCAUCUCUUAGAAAGCAGCAGUUCAUUCUCUGCACUGGCGGGUAGUACAGAGGCACCAGAGCCAUGGGUUUGGCACAGGAUCAGUCUAGAUGUGAUGUGAACACAGGCACUGCCCCAGGCUGCUAAGCUAAGCCUGUCUAGCCAGUUUGCCACAUCCCUUCAAUAUGAUUCUCCACACUUGUGUUUUCAGGAUGCAGCUUCUCCAUGCUAGCUUGUAUGAACACAGGUAUACUUCACACAAUAAACAGUAGCUUGGGUAAGCCUUGACUGUUCAGUGAUAGGGCUAACUUUAUUAGAAAUAUCUAAACUUUGAAUGUCUUCGUGAGGAGUACUGCAUUUAGAAGUACCAUGGGAAUUUCCAAAGACUGUGUUUCCCCUUCUAAAAGGUCUUUGAUAGAAUCAGUCCUCAUUUACGCCACUGUAGUUUUAGUGAUCUCUAGAUUCUUUCUCUACUGGUUAGCAGUGAUUGAGUGCUGAAUGUCGUGGGCCUUGCAGAACCUGGAAAAAUCCCUGCUUCCUUUCCUGGUAAACUGUGGAAAACCAGAAUUUGUCAAAAAUGACAAAGCAGUGUUUGAUACUGUAUUGUGGCAUUUCAGAGUUCAUAAUCUCUUAGACACGUCAAGGUCCUCAAGGUCCUAUAUUUUUCCCCUUUCUUUCUUUAAACCAGCUCUACUCUGAGUCUCAGAUGGAGGUGUCAGAGAAAAGCAAAUGCCCAACUGUGGUUAAGUGUUUCAGAGAUUAAAGUGAUGGGAUGGGCAAAAUUAUUGACAAAUAUGUGUCCUGGUACUGGAGACCACAGAAAUGGAGAGCAUUUGUUUUGAGAAUUUUCAUGAUGGCAAACAGAAGUUUCUGAGUUCUGUUGUUUGAAGAUGGAAGCUUAAGUGGAUGAGAAUUAAGAGUCUGACCUAAGAUAAGGCUUUGACCUAAGACUGAUGUUCCUUGUCAGUUGAAAGAAGAGGAUGAAAUAUGAUCGGUGGCAUAGAUUCGGAGUGAGAUUCCCAUCUGGUGUAAUUUAGCCCAAUUUCAUUGAAUUAAUCCAUUUUCAGGGUAGUGAAGUUAAAUUGAAUUAUGUAGUCUGAGAAUCUGGCCUUUUGUAUAACCUCACUGUUUCACAGGAAAAUCAAUGCAGAGUUAAACUAUAAUCCAGUUCUCAUAGUUUUAGCUACAUCUGGAACUCUAUAAAACACAAGCUGGAAGUGCAGUAAGUCUCUCCCCAAAGACAGAGAAAAUAGACAGGAAAGGCUUUGAGAGAUCCACUACUCUUUUUCCCAGUGCAUGAUCAGCUGUAGCUGUGUUGUAACUGUAAUAUCCCUGUUUUGUCUGUGUUUUAGUGAUGAAGAUUCCCCGGUGCCUGUGGGGAAUUUGUUCUAUCCUUAAAAAUUUUUCAUAACAUCUCUUUCCAAUUUCUCCUACAGUUGUUUUAUCUCAUUGUUUUUCCUGUUAAUUCAUGUAGAUAUGGUCAUUGUCUGUCUCACUGCAGUAGCCUCUGAGAUGUUUGGAUGCUACUGUAACCUCUUAGGCUGCCAUCUCUCCUUAGGUUUAACAAUCUCAGUUCAUUCAGUCUCUUCUCAUAGUUUGUGUUUGUCUGAUCCCUGAUUAUUCUGGCUGCCUUUCUUGUGUCUUAUUUGUCAUAUUUUAUUUGCAGUAUUUGAAGUGCAUCAUCCCAGUAUGGACAGUAUUCCAGGCUGGGCUUUGCCAGCGCUGGGAGGUAGUCACUCAGGUGUCAAGCUGUCCAUAGUCCCCUUCAUAUGUCAUGGUAUAUGUGUUUGCCACCUUGUCACCAACAUGACAUUGUGGUCCUCUGUUAUCUGAGAUGCUGUGUAUGCAGUUAGCCUCUGUGAUCCAUUUCCUCCUUGCUUCUGGCUCAUACAGAAAUACCUGCUUAGGCCUUAUACCAACCUCUCAAACUUCCCAGGAGAGAAGAUGUCUUGAGCAUGGUCAAUCCCAUAGUGAGCUCAGCUCUGUCCACAAUGUCUAGAUCAGUGGAGAACAUGUGAGCAGGGGUUUACCAAGUACAGCCCAGUACAUUAACCAGCAUCUUGAGCUUGUUUUUUCUUCAGUAGAAUGUGGAUUCUGAAGCUAUCCUCCAGCAACGUGAACAGAAAACAUGCAUUGCCAAAGCUUACAGUUCUUGAUCCCUAUCUCUACUACUGUUUUUCACUGCUUAUACAUGGAAAGGAGCAGCCAGUGGUAACAGUGGUGAGGACUGUGUAGGACAGAGAGUUCAGUGUGUCAAAUCCAGCUGCUAUUGUACAAGCUCCUCAUGGCACAUGUGCUUGUUUAUGCUAAUUUACACCGUAUAGUAAUUCUUAAAUGAAAUAAUUUGUUGCAUAAAUGUGAACUGUAAAAUUUAUUUUGAAAUUCUUGCAUUUUAUAUCCUUUUAUUCCCACAAUUAUAUUAAAGCUGUAAUGACCUGUUAAAUUAUAAAUAAUAUGUACAGUGGACAAAAUCACGUACUAGACAAUGUAGGACACAUUAAGUAAAUCAUGUAAGGAGCCAGCUUAGAGCUUUGUCACUUCAUUAAAAUCUUGCACUUAUUUAUCACUUUUCAUGUUCUGUACAGGCUGAUAGUUAACUGAUGACUAUUCAAAUUAAAAAGCUGGACCUGUAAUGUUAAAAUUUAAAUGUCUGUUUUCCGACAUUAAUACAGGCAUUACGGUAAGAAAUCAAAAUACUGUAUGGUGGCUCUGGUCAGGGCUAGAAGUCAGUUCUGUCUGUGCAGAUGUGCCCUCCCCAAUAAGGGAAGCAAAAUGAGGAUGCUUCAGAAAUUGGCCUGUAUUAACUAAAUAGAUUUUUGAAUAGAGAAAGUUUGUCAUCCCUAUAAUAAACUAGAGCAUGCACUUCAGUGGUGCACUAGGAUCUCCAUAAGGGAGGGAUUCCUGCCCCUGGGCAGGUGCUGGUUGACUUCAGCAUUUUUCCAUGUGAGGAAACGUGCCUUUUCAGAAACAUCUGCAUGGGGAGGUUUUGUACAUGUGUAUUUGUUUUCAGAUUAGGGGAUUAAGGGAAAUAUAGACCAAGCCCAGGGAUGGCAAUUUAGCUGGAAACAAAUAGCUAGAAGGUCAGCAAGCAUGGUGGUAGGUAGAAAUCCUGUGCAAACACAGUUGGAGAAGUCACUCCAUGUUUACUGGAUCACAGUGCAAGCAUCAAGUUGGCAAAGUGAAACUUUCAGAUGUGCGAUGCAACCUUUGAGAAAUAUUAGUAUAGCAAAAGAAGGAGAAUCCAGGAAUAUCCACAAUUUGUUGCCUUUCUUGUCAAAAGAAGGAGACAUGGCAUCUCUUUGAAAAGCUAAUAUUAGCUUGCCAGAUCUUUUUGGUCCAUGUGUAAAUAUGUCUAUAUGUGCACAUGUUCAUGUACGGUGUUCUAAAUUACCCACUUAUUCUUCAUUGUGGGGAUACAAGGUCUUCCAAAAAAAAGGGUGUUCAAAAAUAGUGCAGCUACCCAUUUCCAGAGGUGUGGCUUUACCUCUACAUCACUGGACAGAGUUUAAGCAAAAUGAACCUAAAACAAUGAAUACUGAAUCAAAAGCAGGUGAUGCCAGACAAGGAGUCUGAAUUCCCGACAUUUAAGUAUCAGAAACAUCUGUUUCUGUGUGUUGGUAAUUCCACCUUUUUUUCUUAAUGUUUUUAAAGAUGGGAACAAUUUUAUGAAUUAAAAAAAAAAAAAA